GUGAAUCAUCAAAUUUUUGAACGCAAAUUGCACUCUCCGGUUUUCCGGGGGAGUAGGCCUGUUUAAGGUUCAGCCUAAUAAAAAUCGGCGUUGUUGCUGCUUUAUGGUGUCUUUCGCCGGAGUUGGGUUAUCUUACAUCUCGGUUUAAGCGACUUAAAAAUUUUUUUUACUUUUCUAAGAAUGUUUCUAAGAUUUUCCUUCUUUGUUUAAGGUAUCGACUGUC
This 223-nucleotide unclassified non-coding RNA is filed under the name Glomeraceae sp. RNAcentral's name for it is "partial contains 5.8S ribosomal RNA and internal transcribed spacer 2". The stretch from base 1 to 72 matches the Rfam family "5.8S ribosomal RNA", at positions 84 to 154 of the family's 154-position model. The record is from RNAcentral. Lineage: Eukaryota; Fungi; Glomeromycota; Glomeromycetes; Glomerales; Glomeraceae.